This is a transfer RNA of 73 nucleotides. It matches the Rfam family "tRNA". From Rfam's summary of the family: Transfer RNA (tRNA) molecules are approximately 80 nucleotides in length. Their secondary structure includes four short double-helical elements and three loops (D, anti-codon, and T loops).
GGGCCCGUAGCUCAGCAGGCAGAGCACCAGACCGAUUACCUGGGUGUCGCGGGUUCGAAUCCCGUCGGGCCCA